UGUUAUUGUAACUAAAAAGGAAAACCGAUGAAAACGGGAAAACUGGUCGAACUUUGAUGUGAUUAGGGAUAUUUGAGCGGAAAUGGCUAGGUUUGACCAUGUUGGACUUGGCCACGAUUGGCAAUAAAUUCUUCAAUAUUUGCGUAAAUUGACGACGUGAAAUAUGUUCGUAUAAGAUUUAUUUUUAUGGCGAAAGAUUGCAGCGGUGCACCUUCUGAUCUUUAAAUCAUGUCAAAAAUUAUGAUAUGAUCCCCCUUGAGAUCAUUAUUUAAUCACAGUUUUAUGAGCGGGCUUUCCAAAACUAGCACGGAUCUCCCAUGAAUUCAACUCCCAACAGCAACUCCCCGGCACAUUUGCCAAAUCAAUAUGCAAUAUCCCACAAGUAAAGGAUUUCAAACUCUCACUCGAAUCUACACACACACACACUCAGUGGGCAAUCAUAUCGAUGUGGGGAAAACUGAACCGCCUGUCAUAAAAGCCGCACACACAAAAAUACGAGUAGUUGGCUGCAUCAAGAGGGAACUGUGGCAUGAAAAGCACAAAAACUAGCCAACAAACCCCCAGAAAAAUAACAAUUGCACCCCGUAACCCCUGAUCUCUGGCACUGCCACUCGCCGUCCCAAAGCCAUCCGUUCAUGUCUCUGCCAAUGCAUUUCAAAACAGGAGCUGCAGGAGCAGCGAAUCGGGAAAGCCGUUCGGCCACGCCCCUCCGCCGCCCCCACCAUAUCUGUCAAGUGAACUGGAAGUGAUACGGAUAUA
Long non-coding RNA from Drosophila mauritiana, 759 nucleotides. RefSeq lists it as uncharacterized. The record is from RefSeq and is a predicted model, not a curated record. The transcript is spliced from 3 exons. Lineage: Eukaryota; Metazoa; Arthropoda; Insecta; Diptera; Drosophilidae.